This 448-nucleotide ribosomal RNA is filed under the name uncultured bacterium. RNAcentral's name for it is "bacterial SSU rRNA". It matches the Rfam family "Bacterial small subunit ribosomal RNA", at positions 64 to 507 of the family's 1533-position model. The record is from RNAcentral.
GAGCGGUAGAGAGAAGCUUGCUUCUCUUGAGAGCGGCGGACGGGUGAGUAAUGCCUAGGAAUCUGCCUGGUAGUGGGGGAUAACGUUCGGAAACGGACGCUAAUACCGCAUACGUCCUACGGGAGAAAGCAGGGGACCUUCGGGCCUUGCGCUAUCAGAUGAGCCUAGGUCGGAUUAGCUAGUUGGUGGGGUAAUGGCUCACCAAGGCGACGAUCCGUAACUGGUCUGAGAGGAUGAUCAGUCACACUGGAACUGAGACACGGUCCAGACUCCUACGGGAGGCAGCAGUGGGGAAUAUUGGACAAUGGGCGAAAGCCUGAUCCAGCCAUGCCGCGUGUGUGAAGAAGGUCUUCGGAUUGUAAAGCACUUUAAGUUGGGAGGAAGGGUUGUAGAUUAAUACUCUGCAAUUUUGACGUUACCGACAGAAUAAGCACCGGCUAACUCUGUG